CCUACGGGAGGCAGCAGUGGGGGAUAUUGCACAAUGGGGGGAACCCUGAUGCAGCGACGCCGCGUGGGCGAUGGAGUGCUUCGGCAUGUAAAGCCCUAUCAGCAGGGAAGAAAAUGACGGUACCUGACUAAGAAGCCCCGGCUAAAUACGUGCCAGCAGCCGCGGUAAUACGUAUGGGGCAAGCGUUAUCCGGAUUUACUGGGUGUAAAGGGAGCGUAGGCGGCCUGGCAAGCCUGAUGUGAAAUACCGGGGCCCAACCCCGGGACUGCUCUUGGAACUGCGUGGCUGGAGUGCAGGAGGGGCAGGCGGAAUUCCUGGUGUAGCGGUGAAAUGCGUAGAUAUCAGGAGGAACACCGGUGGCGAAGGCGGCCUGCUGGACUGCAACUGACGUUGAGGCCCGAAAGCGUGGGGAGCAAACAGGAUUAGAUACCCGAGUAGUC
This 440-nucleotide ribosomal RNA is filed under the name uncultured bacterium. RNAcentral describes it as "partial 16S ribosomal RNA". It matches the Rfam family "Bacterial small subunit ribosomal RNA", at positions 338 to 795 of the family's 1533-position model. The record is from RNAcentral.